This 789-nucleotide ribosomal RNA is filed under the name uncultured archaeon. Its description in RNAcentral is "bacterial SSU rRNA". It matches the Rfam family "Archaeal small subunit ribosomal RNA", at positions 88 to 879 of the family's 1478-position model. The record is from RNAcentral.
GCUCAGUAACACGUGGAGAACGUGCCCUUAAGUGGGGGAUAAUCUCGGGAAAUUGAGGAUAAUACCCCAUAGAUCAUGGGAUCUGGAAUGACCCAUGGUUCAAAGUUCCGGCGCUUAAGGAUCGCUCUGCGGCCUAUCAGGUAGUAGUGGGUGUAAAGUACCCCCUAGCCUACGACGGGUAUGGGCCUUGAGAGAGGGAGCCCAGAGUUGGAUUCUGAGACACGAAUCCAGGCCCUACGGGGCGCAGCAGUCGCGAAAACUUCACACUGGGGGAAACCCCGAUGAGGGAAAUCCUAGUGCUAGGACAUUUGUUCUAGCUUUUCUCAAGCGUAGAUAACUUGAGGAAUAAGGGCUGGGUAAGACGGGUGCCAGCCGCCGCGGUAAUACCUGCAGCCCAAGUGGUGGUCGAUUUUAUUGAGUCUAAAACGUCCGUAGCCGGUUCGGUAAAUCUUUGGGUAAAUCGGGAAGCUCAACUUUCCGACUUCCGAAGAGACUGCCGAACUUGGGACCGGGAGAGGCUAGAGGUACUUCUGGGGUAGGGGUAAAAUCCUGUAAUCCUAGAAGGACCACCGGUGGCGAAGGCGUCUAGCUAGAACGGAUCCGACGGUGAGGGACGAAGCCCUGGGUCGCAAACGGGAUUAGAUACCCCGGUAGUCCAGGGUGUAAACGCUGCAGACUUGGUGUUGGAGGCAAUUCGGUUGCAUUCAGUGCCGGAGAGAAGUUGUUAAGUCUGCUACUUGGGGAGUACGUCCGCAAGGAUGAAACUUAAAGGAAUUGGCGGGGGAGCAC